AGACGCGAAGCUACCCGACCUGAUGUCAUUUUAUCCGAGGGCGCG
Molecule: ribosomal RNA, 45 nt
Filed under: Scolecobasidium sp. KH00281
Lineage: Eukaryota; Fungi; Ascomycota; Dothideomycetes; Venturiales; Sympoventuriaceae
Description: partial 18S ribosomal RNA
Source: RNAcentral